Molecule: ribosomal RNA, 368 nt
Filed under: Staphylococcus aureus
Lineage: Bacteria; Bacillati; Bacillota; Bacilli; Caryophanales; Staphylococcaceae
Description: bacterial LSU rRNA
Rfam family: Bacterial large subunit ribosomal RNA
Source: RNAcentral
AAGGUUUCCAGAGGAAGGCUCGUCCGCUCUGGGUUAGUCGGGUCCUAAGCUGAGGCCGACAGGCGUAGGCGAUGGAUAACAGGUUGAUAUUCCUGUACCACCUAUAAUCGUUUUAAUCGAUGGGGGGACGCAGUAGGAUAGGCGAAGCGUGCGAUUGGAUUGCACGUCUAAGCAGUAAGGCUGAGUAUUAGGCAAAUCCGGUACUCGUUAAGGCUGAGCUGUGAUGGGGAGAAGACAUUGAGUCUUCGAGUCGUUGAUUUCACACUGCCGAGAAAAGCCUCUAGAUAGAAAAUAGGUGCCCGUACCGCAAACCGACACAGGUAGUCAAGAUGAGAAUUCUAAGGUGAGCGAGCGAACUCUCGUUAAGG